GAUGAACGCUGGCGGCGUGCUUAACACAUGCAAGUCGAACGAAGAUAUUUAGAAUGAGAGCUUCGGCAGGAUUUUUAUCUAUCUUAGUGGCGGACGGGUGAGUAACGUGUGGGCAACCUGCCCUGUACUGGGGAAUAAUCAUUGGAAACGAUGACUAAUACCGCAUGUGGUCCUCGGAAGGCAUCUUCUGAGGAAGAAAGGAUUUAUUCGGUACAGGAUGGGCCCGCAUCUGAUUAGCUAGUUGGUGAGAUAACAGCCCACCAAGGCGACGAUCAGUAGCCGACCUGAGAGGGUGAUCGGCCACAUUGGGACUGAGACACGGCCCAAACUCCUACGGGAGGCAGCAGUGGGGAAUAUUGCACAAUGGGCGAAAGCCUGAUGCAGCAACGCCGCGUGAAGGAUGAAGGGUUUCGGCUCGUAAACUUCUAUCAAUAGGGAAGAAACAAAUGACGGUACCUAGAUAAGAAGCCCCGGCUAACUACGUGCCAGCAGCCGCGGUAAUACGUAGGGGGCAAGCGUUAUCCGGAAUUACUGGGUGUAAAGGGAGCGUAGGCGGCAUGGUAAGCCAGAUGUGAAAGCCUUGGGCUUAACCCGAGGAUUGCAUUUGGAACUAUCAAGCUAGAGUACAGGAGAGGAAAGCGGAAUUCCUAGUGUAGCGGUGAAAUGCGUAGAUAUUAGGAAGAACACCAGUGGCGAAGGCGGCUUUCUGGACUGAAACUGACGCUGAGGCUCGAAAGCGUGGGGAGCAAACAGG
Molecule: ribosomal RNA, 754 nt
Filed under: uncultured Eubacteriales bacterium
Lineage: Bacteria; Bacillati; Bacillota; Clostridia; Eubacteriales
Description: bacterial SSU rRNA
Rfam family: Bacterial small subunit ribosomal RNA
Source: RNAcentral